This is a long non-coding RNA of Morone saxatilis (striped sea-bass), 1373 nucleotides long. RefSeq lists it as uncharacterized. Lineage: Eukaryota; Metazoa; Chordata; Actinopteri; Moronidae. The record is from RefSeq and is a predicted model, not a curated record. The transcript has 3 exons.
GGCCAUACAACCACAACGUAAACACAUACACACAGGUCUGUGACAGGAGGCGCAUUGGUAGAGGACACCUUGUCUGGUCAAACCGGCGUCACAGCUAACGUCUGCAGGGACACGAGAGAUGGCCUGACUUGAUAUCUGUUCAGUGCAAUGGGUUUGACACUCUCCGUGUCGCCGCCUACUCUCUGCUGCCACUCAACUACAGGAGAGACUCAAGCAGCCGAAACACUGUACUACAUUUUGAGAGAUGCCCGGUCACGUAAUUCAAGGUCUUUUCAUUCAGAUUCGUACGGGGAGCAAAGACGAGCUCCUUCAGCAACGCAGAGAAGAAAGAGGAGAAGGGGAGGAGGAGAAAGAUGCAGAGAGGAAAAGGGGGAGAAGUCUGAGAGAGACCCUGCUGCUGAAUACACAGCAGUCAGAUUAAGAUUAAACAGUAAAUAAAGAGGUUGAAAACGCACAUGACAGCAGAAGAACAACCAGAAAGUUUAUACUACACUAUACUAUUGCAUAGUACUAUUUGCAUGCAAAUGGAAAAGCUUUGCAUUGCGUAAAAGCUGAAUUACUAAUCCAAUCGAAAUAUCAAUAUGUGAAUUACAACUACGUCAUAGAGAAACAUACAUUAAAAUACAUAUUUUGUGGAUAUUUACUUUAAAUGGUCCAUUUAAUGUCCUUCCUGCAUUUGACAAUUUGUUAGAAAUUAUCCGUAACGAUAACCCUAUCCAUCUUAUACUGCAAGCAGGUCAAAACUAGUGCGUUCUUCCACCCAUUCAUCAACAUACUUCCCUGAUAACAUCUGAACAUUUUGAGUCAUGAAUGGCUGUUGUGUUUUUUACUGAAGUCUUGUACCAAAGCCACUUAUCUAACUUGGCCAUCCAGACUCUAAAUGACUUCCAAAUGGCUUGGUCCAUUCAUGUCUUCACUCCCACACACUAAGAGAAGUAUGGCAGCCCACUGAAGAAAAAUUAACACAAACAUGUAUUUGCAUGCAGUUAACAUUACUAAAUAAUGAUGGAUGGGUGGAUAAAGCCCCAGAGAAGGCCAAACAUAUACAUGAGUAUGUUUUAUGUCAUCACAAAAGAUUCUCCAGACUUAUCAUUUAAUGCACUGUGGUUCUUCUUUACAACAGUAGGGGGCAGUAAUUACCUGUGACCUCUGAGAUGCUGUGUGGGGGACAGACUAUUACUCGGGGACCACACUAGAGACCUACAGAAUGUAAACUGUGAUGCUGUGAGGAAUGCAUCUUCAGGAUCUAGGCUAUGGAUUCAGAGGAGUCAGGAUGGGAUUUUUUUCUUACAUGCCAGCCUUGAAACAAAAUGUCAUGCAGUGAACUUUUAUAGUAGAAAUACACAACAAACAAUGGAAAGGUUUACAGCAAC